RNAcentral lists this ribosomal RNA (775 nucleotides) under uncultured Neocallimastigales. Its description in RNAcentral is "partial large subunit ribosomal RNA". It matches the Rfam family "Eukaryotic large subunit ribosomal RNA", at positions 24 to 643 of the family's 3401-position model. The record is from RNAcentral. Lineage: Eukaryota; Fungi; Neocallimastigomycota; Neocallimastigomycetes; Neocallimastigales.
UAUGUGAUCGUCUCUCGCAUAUCAAUAAGCGGAGGAAAAGAAACUAACAAGGAUUCCCCUAGUAACGGCGAGUGAAGCGGGAAGAGCUCAAAUUUGAAAUCUUAAAGGGUUUCCCUUUACGAAUUGUAGUUUAAAGAAGUGUUUUCUGUUGAGGUUUCGGUAAAAGUUCUUUGGAAUAGGACAUCAUAGAGGGUGAGAAUCCCGUAUUUGACCUUUACUUUCAACUUUGUGAUACACUUUCAAAGAGUCGGAUUGUUUGGGAAUGCAGUCCAAAAUGGGUGGUAAAUUUCAUCUAAAGCUAAAUAUUGGCGAGAGACCGAUAGCGAACAAGUACCGUGAGGGAAAGAUGAAAAGAACUUUGAAAAGAGAGUUAAACAGUACGUGAAAUUGUCAAAAGGGAAGCGUUUGACAGCCAGUGUUGUUUUUCUGAAAAUCAAUUAAAGAACUGUUUAUGCUAAGUUGUUUAGACUUUAUCAGCUAACUGUUUAGUUUUGAGCUUUUCUUUAAUGCACUUUUCAGUUAACAAGUCAACAUCAAUUUCUUUUGCUGUAAAAAAGCUUGAGGAAGGUGGCUUGAGAUUCGUCUUAAGUGUUUAUAGCCUCUUGCCUAUGCAGUCGGAGAGAUUGAGGUCUGCAGCGUAGAUCCUUCGGGGCUAAAUGCAUUUGUGCUAAGUUAUAGCAUUUUAUAGACAACUUGUUGACUAUGAUUUGUCUUGUAGCUUACUCGCUUAUGUUAUUUUACCUACGCUUAGGAUGUUGAUAUGCAUGACUGAUAU